CGACUCGGGCCGGGAUGUUCACAACCCUUUGUUGUCCGACUCUGUUGCCUCCGGGGCGACCCUGCCUCCGGGCGGGGGCCCCGGGUGGACAUCUCAAACUCUUGCGUAACUUUGCAGUCUGAGUAAAUUUAAUUAAUAAAUUAAAACUUUCAACAACGGAUCUCUUGGUUCUGGCAUCGAUGAAGAACGCAGCGAAAUGCGAUAAGUAAUGUGAAUUGCAGAAUUCAGUGAAUCAUCGAAUCUUUGAACGCACAUUGCGCCCCCUGGUAUUCCGGGGGGCAUGCCUGUUCGAGCGUCAUUUCACCACUCAAGCCUCGCUUGGUAUUGGGCGACGCGGUCCGCCGCGCGCCUCAAAUCGACCGGCUGGGUCUUUCGUCCCCUCAGCGUUGUGGAAACUAUUCGCUAAAGGGUGCCGCGGGAGGCCACGCCGUAAAACAACCCCAUUUCUAAGGUUGACCUCGGAUCAGGUAGGGAUACCCGCUGAACUUAAGCAUAUCAAA
RNAcentral lists this ribosomal RNA (500 nucleotides) under Cladosporium sphaerospermum. Its description in RNAcentral is "eukaryotic LSU rRNA". The stretch from base 145 to 298 matches the Rfam family "5.8S ribosomal RNA". The record is from RNAcentral. Lineage: Eukaryota; Fungi; Ascomycota; Dothideomycetes; Cladosporiales; Cladosporiaceae.